CAAUCUCAAAUGUGUGGCUAUGCUUUUCUGUUUUCUCAAAUUCAGGUAAAUUUUUUGCAAGGAAUUGGGCCUUGUAAAUGAACCUCUUCCCCUACUUAUUGUUAGUGAUUGGGCCUGCAAGCUCAUGAUCUCCAUCUUUGGAUUUUGGAUUCAGAUUAAACACGUAUGAUUUCUUCAGAAGUAUUUUCAUUUUAUUAUUUUUUUUUCUUGGCCCUAUAUUCUUUUUUCUUUGUCUAAAUACUAAACCUUUUUUUUAUUAUUAUUAUUAUUUGUACUAGAAGAUUUUCAGUUGAUUGUACUAAGAUCGGAGGAUACUUUUAGCAUCCAAGUUUUUGAACAUGUCAGUUUGGACUGGACGAUCAACAAUAUGCUCUUCUUGGUUGGUUUAUCCAAUGUAGAGACUUGUGACUGGAUGUUAAUUAUGGACUGAAGCCUCUUGAGAGUGGUAACAGCUUGGCGUCUCACAGCUCGGCCGCGGAUAAUUGCUUGAAGUGUCACUAUUCCCUUCAGUGCCCGCAAAGCUUUCCUUGCCUGCAAUUCUCAAUUCACAUGUUCUUCAAGCCAAUUCAGACAACCCCAUUUGCGAAAUCAAUGAGAACUAGUUUGCAAAAGAUUGAAUGGACUCACAAGGUAACCCCGGAAGGAGGUCUGAAUCUUAACAGCAGCAGAUUCUUGGAUUUCCCUCUCACAUUUUGUAUGCGCCGAGUG
This is a long non-coding RNA of Morus notabilis, 708 nucleotides long. RefSeq lists it as uncharacterized. The record is from RefSeq and is a predicted model, not a curated record. The transcript has 3 exons. NCBI's taxonomy places the organism in Eukaryota, Viridiplantae, Streptophyta, Magnoliopsida, Rosales, Moraceae.